Ruditapes philippinarum (Manila clam) is the source of this 4747-nucleotide long non-coding RNA. RefSeq lists it as uncharacterized. NCBI's taxonomy places the organism in Eukaryota, Metazoa, Mollusca, Bivalvia, Venerida, Veneridae. The record is from RefSeq and is a predicted model, not a curated record. The transcript has 2 exons.
ACUGGGUUUGAUGUCUUUAAUGCCCUGGACUUAAUGCAGAACAAAACAUUCUUGGAGAAACUCAAGUUUGGCAUUGGGGAUGGCAAUUUACAAUAUUAUUUGUAUAACUGGAGAUGUAGUCAAAUGGAACCAAACCAGGUUGGGCUUGUAUUGCAAUGAAGUAGGUAUUAGGAAACUAUUGUAUUUACUGUACAGGAAGCUGGGGAAAAUGAGAUAGUGGUAGUUGACCUGCAGAAAGAAAAAAAACACUCUGUUUUGUGAUAUAUGUUGAUUUUCUCCAAAAAACAAAACAAAAAACAACUUUAAAAGAACAACCUCACUAAGGUGUACAGGAGUGAGAUAUAUGAUGUGUCACUGUGUAUAACAUGUAAUGUAAAAUAAAACAUGCACUUUAUCUGCAAUGCUCCAUGAGUAGUACAUUACACUGGUGCAGCGUGUUCUAUUUUUUCUCCAAAAAAAUUUCCUGUGAACAAUAACAUUUACUAAAUGAUCAUACUUAUGUUCCUUCAUUUAAAGUUAAGUCAAUGAGUUGUUUAUGUAUUUGGUAAUUUUUGCAAUAGUCAUUUUAAUAUUAAUCACAUUGGCAAGCCUUAUUAGUAUGUAGAAUGCGAUAAAAGGUUUGAAUGAAUUUUAAGUUUUUCUGGGUUAAAAGUUUCAUUUUAGAUAGAUUAAACCAUUAAUUUAAAAUAGUUUAUAUCGUUUGCUACAGUCGUUUUGAAUGACUAUCAAUAAUUGAGAUUAUAAUUCGAUAAUAUCAAUUGAUAAUGUUCCAGCAUUAAGGAAUGAUACUUUUAUUUGCGAUAUAUGAACACCAAUCAAUAAACAAUUAGUACUACAGUAUUAUGAACAUAUACUGAAACUUUUACUGUGAAUUAAUAAAGCCAAGGCUACAUCAUUAAAUUUUAUAAUUCAAUAUUUUUAUGGAUAUUUUGUUGAACGUUACUUGCAGAGAUGGUGUUUUAGAACAAUGUUUAAGUAUAAUAAUCAUGUUUAUGAGCUAUAUGAACUUUUAGAAUGUCUAUAAACUAUAUGUUUAUGGUAUUUGAACUCGGUAUAUAAUGUACACAUUCAUGAACAGUUACGAAUUGUUCACCAACUUUUUUUGCUCAUUAUUUAAUUGGAGAUUCAUAUUGGCAAGUUAAAGGAAUUGCCAUUCUUUACAUACAAAUUAUGACGUUUUUUACUUCUCAAAGUAAAAAAUCAUCCAAACAGUUAUGUGUCUGCGAAUCAUGUGCUAUAUUUAUCUAAGAAAUGAAUUUAUGUUAAUAAUAUUGUCGGCAUGAAUGCAUGAGCGGAUUAGUAUAUAGUUAUGUGACACAAAUACUUGUUAUGUGUUGGCCCAUGUAUUCAUUUUUUUUCAGACCACUAUUGCAACCUUAUUGAUACCUUCGUAUUGUGUGAAAGUGUGUUUGAUAACUUUGACACUGUUUUCAAAGUGAUGACAGAAAAUUAAAGAAUUCCCUUUAUUUAUCUUUUGACAGAAAGAGUGCUUGGAAGGGCACCUGAGGUCUUCCUCCACUAGUGAAGCUGGAAUGUCGCCAUAUGACAUAGUGUGUCGGUGUGACGUAAAACCCAAAUCCUUCAAACAAACAAAAUGUAAAUUAUUAAGCAGUGAAGUGCUUGCAUCAAUUAUAACAAACUUCUUCAACAAGUAUAGAGUCAGGCUAAUCGUGUAGUGCUACCUGAUUUAUACAGUAUUCAUAAAGCUUAAUUGUAUUUUUAUUUGUUAUCCAAAAUCUAUUUGGCAAUUCCAAAACCAAGAGAAGGACAUGCCCAUUGAACACAUUAUUUAUAAGAAGUGGUUAAAUCUAUGCUCUCCAUAAAUUUUAAAGAAGCUAGUGAGAAUUUGAGAGUAGCCCUCGAAUGUUUGUUAAAACAUUUUUGUUUACUAUGUCUUUGCAAAAAUAACUAGUGACUAAUUAUAUAGAAGCCUGCGAUUUUGAAAGAGAGCACUUAAGUCAGUUGAUUUACAACAUUGUUGUAAUAUUGAAUCAUUUUGUUCACCAGGUGACGUACAUAGCAUUGAUGUUUUCAUUAUUUUCUAUUCUUGGAUUGUAAUAUUGAUUUUUUUAUAUCAAAUAUUUAAUGCACACAUUUAUGGUAUUUAUUUUAGUUCACCGUUUCAUCGUCGGCAGUUUUUGUUUUAACGCUUUAUUAGAAUGGUUGGCACUUUCUUUGUUGUAGUUUUUUUGUAAUUAUUUCAUAUCCGAUCUGAACCAUGGUGUAAAAUUGAUGAUAGAAUAAAUGUGCUGUUUACGUAAUGACAGAAUUUGUUUCCAUUCAGGUUUUGCAUUAAAAUAUCAAGUCAUUGUCAAAAGUCGCAUAAGUAUCAAUUUCGGUUAUCCUUCAUUUCCAUGUGGAAGAUCAGUGAGUGCAUUUAAUUUUUCUAUCACCUCUAAGAUUGUAACUGUUAUAUAUGUUUAUUUCAUGCUUUCCAGUGUUUUAUUGUAAUAUAUCAGAUGAUUAUAUUCUGAUAAACCACUAGUGAAAUUUAUAAAAUAUAAUUUUCACUGUAGCCGGACUAUAUCUGAAUGCGGAUGAACAGAAAAUCAUAAAUAAAUGGAAUAACAGGCAGAAAUAAAUGCCGUCGUACGUAAAUUUUGCUUCUUUAGGAAAAGAAAGUCAAUGUCAUCAUACAUCAUGUUAGAAAUUUAACAAAAUUAGAGAAAUUUAACGGAACUAGAUUUCAAAACUGAUGAUGUGAUGUCAUGAUAUAAUGACGUCACAAAGGAGAAUGCGCGACGUUACGCGGCAAAAUCAUUAAAAAAUUACUUAAAAUCACUUAAAAAGCAUAAAAUAAAAAGAAAAUUUAUUUGUUUUACAAAUAAGAUUGAAAUAUAUUUCAUUCGUGAACACCAGCUAUUAUAUUUUCACUCGUGGCUACGCCACUCGUGAAAAUAUUGCAUCUGGUGUUCACUCAGUGAAAUUAUAUUUCAAUCUUACAUGCAAAACAAACAAAUAUCCUCUAUAUAAUUAAUUUUUCAUCAGCUGAAGCCAUCCAGAUAGCUUACGAAAUUUUGAUGUUAACUGGUGAAAAUUUUGAUGGGUCUUGCUUGCAAUUGUACAUGGUAUGGCACCUAUGGUCUUCCUCCAUCAGUGAAAUCUGCAUUGCAUUAUUUUCAAAUUUACGUUCAUUAGUAUUUAUAUAGUUUUGAAUUAAUAAAUGUAAGCUGUACAGACACACGCAAUUAUUGCUUAUAAAAAUGUUUUAACCACAAGAUUAUUUAAUGUUGUUUCUAAUUUCCUAUUAAUGUUUUAUAAACAAAAAAAAAAACAUUAUUAAAAAUAUUAAGCUCAAUUACAUGUAAUAUAUGAAAUACUUCCGUUAACUUCAGAUCUUGCUUAAAACUUAACUUAAAUGUGCUUGUCCAACUUAUAUUUUUUAUGCCCCCACAGAGUGGGAGCAUAUAGCGUUGCACUUGUCCGUCUGAGUGUCCGUCCGUACGUCUGUCCGUACGUCCCGAAAUCUUGUGAACGCAACUCCUCUUAAACCGGAUGGCAGAUUUUGCUUAAACUUCCAGGGAUGAACAACCUUAAUGUGUAGAUGGUAGUAAAGGAAGGAAUUUUUGCUGCAACCAAAUUUAACAGAAUUAUGGUCCUUUGUUGAUUUUUUCACUAUAUACUAUGUAGAAAUUUUGUGAAUGCAACUCCUCUUUAAACCUGAUGGCAGAUUUUGCUUAAACUUCCAGGGAUGAACAACCUUAAUGUGUAGAUGGUAGUAAAGGAAGGAAUUUUUGCUGCAACCAAAUUUAACAGAAUUAUGGUCCUUUGUUGAUUUUUUCACUAUAUACUAUGUAGAAAUUUUGUGAACGCAACUCCUCUUAAACCGGAUGGCAGAUUUUGCUUAAACUUCCAGGGAUGAACAACCUUAAUGUGUAGAUGGUAGUAAAGGAAGGAAUUUUUGCUGCGACCAAAUUUAACAGAAUUAUGGCCCUUUGUUGAUUUUUUCACUAUAUACUAUGUAGAAAUUUUGUGAACGCAACUCCUCUUAAACCGGAUUGCAGAUUUUGCUUAAACUUCCAGGGAUGAACAACUUUAAUGUGUAGAUGGUAGUAAAGGAAGGAAUUUUUGCUGCGACCAAAUUUAACAGAAUUAUGGCCCUUUGUUGAUUUUUAGUUUUCAACUUGUGGCACAUGUAGUCCAAAAAAUAUUUGACCUAGAGUCAUAAGAUUGACAGAACAGUGGCGUGUGGGGGCAUCCGUGUCCUAUGGACACAUUUCUAGUUUACCUUUCCAUUACCAAUGUUAGGGAAAAUCAUGUUGAAUAUUUUAAGACCAGUCUGCCAACAGAAUAGAGCCCGAUCUGACUGCUCGGAUGUAUAGGCUGACUUGACUCCAUACUAGUGGCAAAUGUUAAUUGUUUAUGGUUCAAACAGUAUAAUCUAGUAAAUUAAAUUUGUUUUCAAUUCAUUUUAUUCAUUAAGUUUUUUGUUCAAUGACAUCAUUAUUAUUCAAGAUCAUCAAUUCAAACAUUUUGAAACAAUUGACAUUAUACAGCGUUACUAUCAAUAAUUUGUUAGACAUGAUGCAAUUAAUUUUCGUUAUUACAUUAUCAAAGAUGUAUCGACACCGUUUCUAUAAAUAGACAUGAUGCAAUUUAUUUCACUGAGUAGGAGCUUGUGUGUUUAUUUGAGUGUUAGGUAACUAUGAUUAAUUUUUGUAGUCUUUUUAUAUAUGUUUCAUUGUAAAUGAUAACUUAAAACAUUUUUUAUUUGCUAUCAAGAAUAAAUUGAUGAAAGAUGUGUAAA